GGGUCUGCGUUCCAUUAGCUUGUUGGCGGGGUAAUGGCCCACCAAGGCUACGAUGGGUAGCUGGUCUGAGAGGAUGAUCAGCCACACUGGAACUGAAACACGGUCCAGACUCCUACGGGAGGUCUCCUCCGGAUGAUACUAUCUGGCAUUUCUGCUCCGUAACACCCUUGGACAUUCCGCNNCCCUCGUCGCAGGAUAUCAAGGUUUGCAGUUUCAAAGGCUCGU
RNAcentral lists this ribosomal RNA (225 nucleotides) under uncultured delta proteobacterium. Its description in RNAcentral is "partial 16S ribosomal RNA". The stretch from base 1 to 122 matches the Rfam family "Bacterial small subunit ribosomal RNA", at positions 227 to 348 of the family's 1533-position model. Lineage: Bacteria; Deltaproteobacteria. The record is from RNAcentral.